Molecule: long non-coding RNA, 1045 nt
Filed under: Pomacea canaliculata
Lineage: Eukaryota; Metazoa; Mollusca; Gastropoda; Architaenioglossa; Ampullariidae
Description: uncharacterized LOC112568868, transcript variant X2
Source: RNAcentral
UUGUUAAUAUUUUUUAAUGUAAAACUAGUCAAAUCUAUUUUAACUGCUUGGCUGCACAGCAAAACAAAUCAUCACAGAAAAAUUGAUUCAAGGAAAAAAAAAAAUAAAAAGCAAUUUGUAGCAAACUUUGGAAGCCAUAUUUCAUAAGCACCUCAAGAGCUUAACGAGCAAUGACUGUGCCACAACGGGCCAAUAAAAGUCCUUCAAGCAAUGAGCUGAACUCUAGGCAUCUCACUUAAUGCUCUUCCUCUUAACGUAUUCUGACUACUAGCCUUUCUUUCAUUGAGGAUAUGGACCUGUAUAUGUUAAACAAUCCUUGUGGGCAACAGGGCAAAUGUCAAGGCAAUUGACAACUUAUUUAAAGUAAGAUGCUUCACAGUCUCAGAAAUUUUGCCUAUUCCUACAAAUUGGAAGAUGAUUUCAACAGAAACUGACCUCUUCUGGCUGACUUAUACAUUAUACAGACACAUGGAUGCAAGGUGCGCUGGGUCUGGAUGUGCAAGCCGCAACUCUAUGCGAAAUAAAAAAAUCCAGAAGACACAUCGCAGUCCGGAGGUCACUGUUCACCCUGCGGUCUUUGUACCAGACGCACAAAACCGCUUUUGACUGCUACAAGUUUAUGGAAACACCACCCCAUCCUUAUCGCUGAAGCUCUUUUAUAUUAUCAGCUAAUAGUCUGCAAAGUGUUGGGUGUAUCAUAAAAACUAUAAAGACGCAACAGUAGCCCUUUUAAAAAAGUUUUAAUGCAACCACAGAAGGGUUUAAAUAUCCGAUGUUCCUCAAGUUUAAUGUACAAUGAUAGCUCCAGAAAACUACUAUUUUCUGACAGCUAUUACGACUUUUCUAGUAAGUCUGACAUGUUAAAAAACCAAAGAUUUUUUUCUUGAACCUUCUGGUCUUGCCAGGAAGAUGUCGAUCAGGGUUUUCUAAUAAGGUCUGAUAAACCACAGCAUAGACGCCUCCUAACCACGCCUCUAACAAAGGCAUGUAGGUGGACAUUUUUCUAGAAAUCAACCAAACUUUUAAAUUGUGUUUCCAUGCUUGA